CAUUGGUAGAGGAGCAUUCUUAACUGAGACGAAGCUGUACCGUAAGGAGCAGUGGAUUGUUAAGAAGAGAGAAUGCUGGAAUGAGUAGCGAGAGGAAGGUGAGAAUCCUUCCGGCCGAAUAUCCAAGGUUUCCAGAGUAAAGCUGAUCUGCUCUGGGUAAGUCGGGGCCUAAGGCGAGGUCGAAAGACGUAGUCGAUGGACAACAGGUUGAGAUUCCUGUACUAUAGUAUAACAGAACUGUGGGGACACAGAUGGAAAGCACAAUCCGGGAAUGGAAAAACCGGUACAAGCGGGGUAGGAGUAGUAAAGGCAAAUCCGUACUACAAUCCGAAGACGUGACGUGGAGCGAACUAAAGUAGCGAAGUGUGUGAGCCAGCUGUCAAGAAAAGCCGCUAUUGUUUAUAUUAUACCCGUACCGUAAACCGACACAGGUGGAUGAGGAGAGAAUCCUAAGGCCGACGGAAGAAGCAUUGUUAAGGAACUCGGCAAAAUGACCCCGUAACUUCGGGAGAAGGGGUGCCUCGAAAGAGGCCGCAGAGAAUAGGCUCAAGCAACUGUUUAGCAAAAACACAGGUCUAUGCAAAACCGCAAGGUGAAGUAUAUGGGCUGACGCCUGCCCGGUGCUGGAAGGUUAAGAGGAGAUGUCAGCGCAAGCGAAGCAUUGAAUUUAAGCCCCAGUAAACGGCGGCCGUAACUAUAACGGUCCUAAGGUAGCGAAAUUCCUUGUCGGGUAAGUUCCGACCCGCACGAAAGGCGUAAUGAUUUGAGCACUGUCUCGACAAUGCAUCCGGUGAAAUUGAAAUACCAGUGAAGAUGCUGGUUACCUGCGCCAGGACGGAAAGACCCCAUGGAGCUUUACUCCAGCUUGAUACUGGGAUUCGGUAUUGCAUGUACAGGAUAGGUGGGAGACUGAGAAUUCACAACGCCAGUUGUGAAGGAGUCAUUGUUGGGAUACCACCCUUGCAGUAUUGGAUUUCUAACCAGCCACCGUGAUCCGGUGGUGGGACAAUGUCAGGCGGGGAGUUUGACUGGGGCGGUCGCCUCCGAAAGGGUAUCGGAGGCGCUCAAAGGUCUUCUCAGAAUGGUUGGAAACCAUUCGCAGAGUGCAAAGGCAAAAGAAGGCUUGACUGUGACACCGACGGGUGGAGCAGGUACGAAAGUAGGACUUAGUGAUCCGGUGGUAUAAAGUGGGAUUGCCAUCGCUCAACGGAUAAAAGCUACCCUGGGGAUAACAGGCUUAUCACUCCCAAGAGUUCACAUCGACGGAGUGGUUUGGCACCUCGAUGUCGGCUCAUCGCAUCCUGGGGCUGUAGUAGGUCCCAAGGGUUGGGCUGUUCGCCCAUUAAAGCGGUACGCGAGCUGGGUUCAGAACGUCGUGAGACAGUUCGGUCCCUAUCCGGCGUGGGCGCAGGAUAUUUGAGAGGAGCUGACCUUAGUACGAGAGGACCGGGUUGGACUGACCUCUGGUGUACCGGUUGUUCUACCAAGAGCAUGGCCGGGUAGCCAAGUCGGGAAGGGAUAAACGCUGAAGGCAUCUAAGCGUGAAGCCCCCCUCAAGAUGAGAUAUCCCCCGCAUAAGCGGUAAGACCCCUUGAAGACGACGAGGUAGAUAGGUUAGAGGUGGAAGUGCAGUAAUGUAUGGAGCUGACUAAUACUAAUAGGUCGAAGGCUUAUCCAU
Molecule: ribosomal RNA, 1678 nt
Filed under: Robinsoniella peoriensis
Lineage: Bacteria; Bacillati; Bacillota; Clostridia; Lachnospirales; Lachnospiraceae
Description: partial 23S ribosomal RNA
Rfam family: Bacterial large subunit ribosomal RNA
Source: RNAcentral